This 483-nucleotide ribosomal RNA is filed under the name uncultured bacterium. RNAcentral's name for it is "bacterial SSU rRNA". It matches the Rfam family "Bacterial small subunit ribosomal RNA", at positions 31 to 507 of the family's 1533-position model. The record is from RNAcentral.
GAACGCUGGCGGCAGGCUUAACACAUGCAAGUCGAGCGGGCGAGGUUGCUUCGGUAACUGAGCUAGCGGCGGACGGGUGAGUAAUGCUUAGGAAUCUGCCUAUUAGUGGGGGACAACAUUCCGAAAGGAAUGCUAAUACCGCAUACGCCCGUACGGGGGAAAGCAGGGGAUCUUCGGACCUUGCGCUAAUAGAUGAGCCUAAGUCAGAUUAGCUAGUUGGUGGGGUAAAGGCCUACCAAGGCGACGAUCUGUAGCGGGUCUGAGAGGAUGAUCCGCCACACUGGGACUGAGACACGGCCCAGACUCCUACGGGAGGCAGCAGUGGGGAAUAUUGGACAAUGGGCGCAAGCCUGAUCCAGCCAUGCCGCGUGUGUGAAGAAGGCCUUUUGGUUGUAAAGCACUUUAAGCGAGGAGGAGGCUACUUGGAUUAAUACUCUAGGAUAGUGGACGUUACUCGCAGAAUAAGCACCGGCUAACUCUGUG